Molecule: ribosomal RNA, 468 nt
Filed under: uncultured bacterium
Lineage: Bacteria
Description: partial 16S ribosomal RNA
Rfam family: Bacterial small subunit ribosomal RNA
Source: RNAcentral
GACGAACGCUGGCGGCGUGCUUAACACAUGCAAGUCGAACGGAAAGGCACUGCUUUUGUGGGGUGCUCGAGUGGCGAACGGGUGAGUAACACGUGAGUAACCUGCCCUUGACUUUGGGAUAACUUAAGGAAACUGGGGCUAAUACCGGAUAGGAGCUCAUGCUGCAUGGUGGGGGUUGGAAAGUUUCGGCGGUUGGGGAUGGACGAGCGGCUUAUCAGCUUGUUGGUGGGGUAGUGGCUUACCAAGGCUUUGACGGGUAGCCGGCCUGAGAGGGUGACCGGCCACAUGGGUACUGAGGGACGGCCCAGUCUCCUACGUGAGGCAGCAGGGGGGAAUAUUGCACAAUGGGCGGAAGCCUGAGGCAGCAGCGCCGCGUGCGGGAUGACGGCCUUCGGGUUAUGAACCGCUUUCGCCUGUGACGAAGCGUGAGUGACGGUAAUGGAUAAAGAAGCACCGGCUAACUACGUG